Molecule: transfer RNA, 91 nt
Filed under: Sus scrofa (pig)
Lineage: Eukaryota; Metazoa; Chordata; Mammalia; Artiodactyla; Suidae
Rfam family: tRNA
About the family: Transfer RNA (tRNA) molecules are approximately 80 nucleotides in length.
Source: Rfam by way of RNAcentral
UCCCUGGUGGCCUAAUGGUUAAGGAUCUGGCAUUGUCACUGCUGUGGCUCAAGUUACUGCUGUGGCCCAGGUUCGAUCCCUGGCCCGGGAA